RNAcentral lists this long non-coding RNA (4621 nucleotides) under Homo sapiens (human). RNAcentral's name for it is "HSALNT0083265". The record is from RNAcentral. Lineage: Eukaryota; Metazoa; Chordata; Mammalia; Primates; Hominidae.
AAAUAAAAGGCAGUUUCUGCCUAAACCAAUAAACAAACUUAAUACAAGAGAUGCCAAUUAGGUUAAAGUUAUAAAGGUUCUAAAAGGUUAAAGUUAGAAAGGCUCAUCCAAUAUAAGUCAUUUAAAAACAGCAAAUAAGUAAAGAAUUACAAAACCAGGACAUAAAAGUUGGUAAAAAUUAGUGUCAAAAGAGUUAGAAUAAAAGUUGAUUAAGCAUGAUAUAAAGUUUCAAUAAUAAAAACUACCAAUAUUCAAUUUAAAUGGAACCAUAAAAAUGGAUAUUAGAAAUGUGAAAUUUUCUAUUACUAUAGGAUCUUUCAUGUUAUCGAGAACUGAAUCAAGCACAACUAAAAAUCAGUUUUUACUCUCAAAAAAAAAAAAAAAAAAAAGAAAAUGGCAGCUAAGUAUAGGACUCACACCUAUAAUCCCAGCACUUUGGGAGGCCAAGAUGGGAGGAUUACUUGAGCCUAGGAGUUCCCUGCUAGACUGGGAAACAUAGUGAGACCUCAUCUCUACAAAAAAUUUGGAAAUUAGCCAGUAAGUAUUCUGCAAAUAGAUUCCUUUAAAAUUAAAAAUAUAAAGAUAAAAAAGUCUGCUGGAUGUGGUGGUACACACCUGUAGUCUCAGCUACUUGGGAGGCUGAGGCAGGAGGCUGUCUUGAGCUCAGGGUAUUGAGGCUGCAGUGAGCCACAAUUGCACCAAUGCAUUACAGCCUGAGCAACGUAGCAAGACCCUGUCUCAAAAAAGAGAGAGAGAAAAAACGGUUAAUGUUGUGGACAGGUAGGCAAGGGCACAGGUGAUCCUCUGAGGGUACUGCCCUUUGAGACAUAGUGGCAGCCACACAGGUAGGCAAGGGCACAGGUGGUCCUCUGAGGGUACUGCCCUUUGGAACAUAGUGGCAGCCGCAGCUGCACACCCAUGCAAGGCUGUGGCACAGGCUGUGUGUGCAUUUCUAAUAACGACAAACAGAAAUAAACCCCAGUCUCUUGCCCUUUGAAUACAGCUCUUUUUGGUUAGAGGGAACUAUUUCCACUCUUUCUAUAAUUCCAUCUUCCUAAUAAUGCUUCUUAUGUUAAUCAAUUUGACUUAAAAUUACAGUGGCUUGUGAGCCUGGAGUGGGCACAGUUCUGCUCCAGGCUUUACCUGCUCUCCCUGGCAGUUACAUGUUGACACGGAAGGAUCUGCUAUGUUCUCAAGCAAACCAUUUCUUAUUUUGCAAUUAUAACUGCCCUACUCACUGCAUGUUGUCUUUGGUGGUUCUAUAAUUAAAGAGCAGAGAAUUUUUCUUCCCCUCGCUGCACAAGGUGAAAAAUGUUAGUUAUUUUCAGAGACCCAGCUGCUACAAGCAUUAAAAAUUACUUAAAACAUAAAUGUAUGGCAUUGUGAUCACAAUGGAUUGUGUUGUUGUAAAUGAAUUACCCUGUAAAUUGCUGUUUAAAAUUAAAAUAUAGCUUAUGAGGAAUGGCAGGAAAGUAAUACAGAAGGAAGUAUGGUUUCAUAUAAUUGUCUCCAAAAGCCUGUCCCUGACAGAAGUGAUGGCAAAGGAAGUGCCAGAAGCAGCUACCCCCGCCUGGCAAAGUUAAAGUCUGCUGGCCCCCGCGACAUGCUUCUUUCCUUGUAUCUCCCUGAAGACCUCCCCGCCUCCCACAGGUCCUGAGCCUGUAUUGAGGGUCUGCACUGUGCUUGCUCCAAGGUGGCUAGCAGGUGCAUAAAGAUGAGUGAGCACUGCCCUCCCUCAGACAGCGUGGGGCUCAUGGGGAGCCAGGCACCGUGCAGACAGGCAGGAGGAAGGGGCCGUGGUGAAGAUGUCUCGGGGUCUUAUUUGGGCAGCCGAGGUGGAAGCGGUAAUAUGCCAGUACACACGAAAGAGAUGAUUGGUUGAUUUAACUUGACUGAUUGAUCUAUGCCAGCAGAUUGUUGAAACUCACAGGAAUUUAGAAGCUUGGCGUUGGGAGGAGCCUCUGGGAGGUGAAAUGCCCCCGCCAGCUUUCUCAAGCACUCGCGGGAGACGGUAGUCUGUUCUCUACUUGGACGCUUCCAGAGGUGGAAAAUUUGCCACUUUGUGACACAUCCACUGCCCGUGGGGGCAAAUUCAAGCCUUCUCCCAACCCAACAACCCGAAGGUCAUGUAUUCGAUUUGGAUAUGUUAACUUGGAAAUCCCUGGUGACUCCCAAGAGAAGGCUCACAGCAAGUGGAGGAGGCAGGAGCUGACGGAAGCUACUGGCCAUGCUCAGAAUGGCCUUGGCACAUGGGGACCAGGGGAAUCACAGGAACAAGUUUGACUCUCAUGGAGGGCUUUUAUAAAAUGGGGGUUUGAUUUAAAAGGCAAUGCAGCAUGUUUGGAGGGUUGUGAGCAAUGGAGUAAACUAAUGCUGGAAGUAUUUAAGAAGAUUAAUUUAUCAAAAGGAGGAUGAACUGGAGAGAGAGAGACAGUGGCCUCCCAGGCACUCCCACGGAUCCUGACUCUCACGUUCAAUAGAGACCUGGAGGUAAUCUUUUCCACCAUUAGAUAAGCGAAGGGCUCCACACAAGAUUCCUACCAAGAGCCUGCACAGAUGCUCCAGCUGCAGUGGCCUCCCCCUGAUCUGAGCAUCACUUGCUGGCCACCUAGGCAUUCUCCAGCCCAAACACCCCAGCGUCUUGUCCUCCUUUGACAGCAUCUCCUGGUCCUUCUGUAUCCUGCCACAUCCUGCUCCUGCUGCUUCAUCACACAUCGGUCCAGAAGUUUAGAUGUAAUCAUAGAAAAAAAAUUCAUUAAUUUAUUUCCACAUUCCUCUGAUAUCUAUAUGGCAGCUCAUCAAUGUCAGGUGUUACAUGAGGCACCAAAGGUGCUGAGGAAAACAAGCAGUUCUUGCUCAAAAGAAGUCUCAGCUGAAUGGAGGGAGAUGGACAAAGUGAAAACAUCCAUGGGAAAAAGACCAUUAUCAGUCAUGGUCCAAGUCUGUACAGGGGUGCUGGGUCUGCAGUUGAAAGACCUGUCCAGGGUGAGAGGUAUUAUUCCCACAGCCUAAUAGCGAAAGGACCCUUCGAUGUAGUCAUGAACAAUGCGUAGGCUUGACCCAGAAGACAAGGACAUCAAAGUCUUUCCAGCAAGGCAGGCUGAGCUUCUGAACUGAGAGACUAGACAUGCAAGACAGAAGGAGUAAAGUGCCCAGAAGAAAGGAGGAACCACUCCUAAAUACAUGGUGGCAAUUCUUGCUCUGAACUUGAAAGAAAGAAAGGAGAGUAGAUGCAGAAAUGAAAAACAAUGUUGGUCUGUCUACCACAUUUGGGGGGAUUAAGGGAGUUCCCAUUUUUACCCUAAAUGUUCUCUGAAUUUUUUUUUUACCCUAAGGGAUAGAAGUAGUAAAGUAGAGAAUUCAGGAAGAACACAGGAUGAAAUAACUGUCUCUCAUUAUUUUUUAUCCACAUGUGAUGCAAGUGAGACGCAUUGUUGAGUUUAACAUGAUAAAGACUCUGGGAUAGAUUGUGCUAGGAAGAAAAAACAUAUUUCGAAUAGCACUGGUAAGUUGAAGAGUAUAGCAAUGGUGAUGUUUUUAGAGGGUGAGAAAACCACUUCAAAGAAGGUAAUUUUGGCCUUCGUCUCAUUGUUUACAUUUGUCUGAAUUGUUUUCUUCUUUAAUAUGAAACUGAAAACUUCUUGAAAGAUAGUUUUUAUGGGUAUAUGAAUAAAGGUUGACAUUACUUAGUGUCCGCACUGCAAAGAUGUAAUUCCAUUGGCUCCUGGUUUCCAUAUUGAGGAUGGAGAAGUCGGCUGUCAGUCUAAUUGCAGUAGUUCUUUAAUUUCUUUAACCAAAUGACUUUAUUCUGUUAAUCCAUUAUCAAUCUUUAAUGAGUUCUUUAUCUUUUCUCCAGAUACUUUUCAGAUCUUCUAUUUAUCCUUAAAUUUCACUAUAUUGCACUUAGGUGCAGACUCCUUUUUAUGUAUCUUGCUUGAAUUUGUGUUUCUGAAUCUAGGCAUCCAUGUUUUUUAUAAAUUUUAGAUAAUUCUCAGCUAUUAACUCUCUACAUAGUUACUUCGUUCUCUGAACUAGUUCCUUUGUGAAUUCCAAUAACAUAUUAGAACUUCUAACCCCAUCUGUAAUAUCUUUCAAACUCUAUAUGACAUUUUUGAAAUGUCUGACUUUAUGUUGUGUUCUGAGUAAUUUUUCAGCAUUAUCUUCUAGUCCACUUAUUCUCUCUUUAUCUGUGUCAUCUCUUCUAUUUAACUCAUUUAUCAAGUUGUGUUUUGUUUUUUGUUUUUUUAGAUGGAGUCUUGCUCUGUCACCCAGGCUGUAGUGCAGUGGCACAAUCUUGGCUCACUGCAACCUCUGCCUCCUAGGUUCAUGUAAUUCUCCUGCCUUGGCCUCCUGAGUAGCUGAGAUUAUAGGCACCUGCCACCAUGCCCAGCUAACUUUUGUAUUUUUAGUAGAGAUGGGGCUUCACCAUGUUUCUCAGGCUGGUCUCAAACUCCUGACCUCAAAUGAUCAGCCAACCUUGGCCUUCUAAAGUGCUGAGAUUACAGACAUGAGCCACCAUGCCCAGCCUAUCAAAGUUUUCUUUCUACUGUUAUAUUUUUACAUUUACGGAAGCAUUUGUAAUUAUUCUGUUUGCAACAUAUAUGGUUGUUUUCAGAUUUUU